GGAGGGGGCGAGCGUUAUUCGGAGUUAUUGGGCGUAAAGGGCGCGUAGGCGGCUUGGUAAGUCAAAGGUGAAAUCCCUCGGCUCAACUGAGGAAUUGCCUUUGAAACUGCCUGGCUCGAGGCCGGGAGGGGGUAGCGGAAUUCCCAGUGUAGCGGUGAAAUGCGUAGAUAUUGGGAGGAACACCGGUGGCGAAGGCGGCUACCUGGGCCGGUUCUGGCGCUGAUGCGCGAAAGCGUGGGGAGCAAACAGGAUUAGAUACCCUGGUAGUCCACGCUGUAAACGAUGGGUGCUCGGUGUCGCGGGUAUCGACCCCUGCGGUGCCUUAGCUAACGCGUUAAGCACCCCGCCUGGGGAGUACGGUCGCAAGGCUG
This 371-nucleotide ribosomal RNA is filed under the name uncultured bacterium. RNAcentral describes it as "bacterial SSU rRNA". It matches the Rfam family "Bacterial small subunit ribosomal RNA", at positions 527 to 896 of the family's 1533-position model. The record is from RNAcentral.